AGUUGUAUGUAGGCCUUCCACUGCUGUCUAGAGAGACUGAAAUCAUACACCAAUAGAGCAGUUUCUGCUUUUCCAGGGCUGUAAUAUUUUACUCCAUCUGAGGUUGGAAAUUUACAAGAUGGACUGUAGAUGACUUCUCUUGGCAUCCAUGCUUGUUCUCCUGCAUGUGGUUCAACACUUUGCAAGAUCUGUGCAGCUAACAGCACGAGGAAAGCAUUUCCAGAGGAUUCAUUGUAAUCUGCCUUUCAGUGGCAAUAACAGAUGUCUGGC
This is a long non-coding RNA of Neopelma chrysocephalum (saffron-crested tyrant-manakin), 270 nucleotides long. RefSeq lists it as uncharacterized. The transcript is spliced from 3 exons. Lineage: Eukaryota; Metazoa; Chordata; Aves; Passeriformes; Pipridae. The record is from RefSeq and is a predicted model, not a curated record.